AAGGAUCAUUAAUGAAUUCACUAUGGAGUUGUUGCUGGCCUCUAGGGGCAUGUGCACGCUUCACUAGUCUUUCAACCACCUGUGAACUUUUGAUAGAUCUGUGAAGUCGUCUUUCAAGUCGUCAGACUUGGUUUGCUGGGAUUUAAACGUCUCGGUGUGACAACGCAGUCUAUUUACUUAACACACCCCAAAUGUAUGUCUACGAAUGUCAUUUAAUGGGCCUUGUGCCUAUAAACCAUAAUACAACUUUCAACAACGGAUCUCUUGGCUCUCGCAUCGAUGAAGAACGCAGCGAAAUGCGAUAAGUAAUGUGAAUUGCAGAAUUCAGUGAAUCAUCGAAUCUUUGAACGCACCUUGCGCCCCUUGGUAUUCCGAGGGGCGUGCCUGUUUGAGUGUCAUUAAAUUCUCAAACUCACUUUGGUUUUUUCCAAUUGUGAUGUUUGGAUUGUUGGGGGCUGCUGGCCUUGACAGGUCGGCUCCUCUUAAAUGCAUUAGCAGGACUUCUCAUUGCCUCUGCGCAUGAUGUGAUAAUUAUCACUCAUCAAUAGCACGCAUGAAUAGAGUCCAGCUCUCUAAUCGUCCGCAAGGACAAUUUGACAAUUUGACCUCAAAUCAGGUAGGACUACCCGCUGAACUUAA
Molecule: ribosomal RNA, 639 nt
Filed under: Pleurotus ostreatus (oyster mushroom)
Lineage: Eukaryota; Fungi; Basidiomycota; Agaricomycetes; Agaricales; Pleurotaceae
Description: eukaryotic LSU rRNA
Rfam family: 5.8S ribosomal RNA (bases 245-398)
Source: RNAcentral